GGACUACUGGGGUAUCUAAUCCCGUUCGCUCCCCACGCUUUCGUGCCUCAGUGUCAGAACCUGCCCAGUCACCCGUCUUCACCACAGGCAUUCCAGACGAUAUCUACGCAUUUCACCGCUCCACCGUCUGUUCUAGUGACCCCUACAGGCCUCAAGUCCGCCAGUAUCAGAAGCAGUUCCCGGGUUGAGCCCGGGGAUUUCACAACUGACUUAACGGACCACCUACGCACCCUUUAAACCCAGUGAAUCUCAGUAACGCUCGGGACCUCUGUAUUACCGCGGCUGCUGGCAC
RNAcentral lists this ribosomal RNA (292 nucleotides) under uncultured bacterium. Its description in RNAcentral is "partial 16S ribosomal RNA". The record is from RNAcentral. RNAcentral also lists the same sequence under 1 other name.